GCCCUUAUAGCUCAGUGGUAGAGCGCGUCACUCGUAGUUCGAGAGGUCGAUCAAGUGCCAUGACGAGGUCGCAGGUUCGACUCCUGCUGAGGGCA
Cephalotrichum gorgonifer is the source of this 95-nucleotide non-coding RNA. The record is from the annotation of a GenBank genome assembly. Lineage: Eukaryota; Fungi; Ascomycota; Sordariomycetes; Microascales; Microascaceae.